RNA transcript from Podarcis raffonei (Aeolian wall lizard), 7528 nucleotides. It is a transcript of the gene named myosin XVIIIB, with no coding region annotated. The record is from RefSeq and is a predicted model, not a curated record. The transcript is spliced from 44 exons. Lineage: Eukaryota; Metazoa; Chordata; Lepidosauria; Squamata; Lacertidae.
UCCUCCUCUCCGCUUUUCCUGUGCUUGGUAGGAACCUGUAGCUGCUCCUAGAGCCUGGGAGGCUCUUUGUGUAGAAACUGUACCCCUCCUGUCGCUGGCAGUGCUGAAAAUAGAGAAGAUUAGGGAAGAAGACCGCAGCCCCCCACCCACCUCGCCACCCCCACUUUUCUCGGUCAUUCCCGGAGGCUUCAUCAAGCAACUUGUGCGGGAAACAGAAAAGGAGUCCAAAGAAGCAAAAUUAAAAGAGAAAUUAAUUUCCAAAGAAGAUCCUCCAGGAAAGCAGGUUGACGGGCCCGUGCAGCAGUUUGUAAUCAGGGACACCAACAUUUUGGAAGUGGGAGAGGACAUGGCCAACAAGGGACAGCUGCUGCAAGGACGAUUGAAUGGUGAGAAGCAUGGAGUGGAAGGUGAGUCUGAGAUUCCAGAAAGGAAGCCUUUGCCUUUCAAGAGAACUGCCCAGAGGGGCCACACCCAGCAACCAGUACUGCCUGUGCCUGAAUUAGCACCGGCCACUCCAAAAUCAGCACCAGCAGUUCCAACACUGGGCGAGGAGGUCCACUUGGAUGCAUCUCAGCCUCCUAAAGUUCCUGCAGCUCCAGAUCAAAUCAAAAGCAGCAGUGCUAAGGAUCUACCUGGGUCUGGAACAGAACACGAAAAGAAGGGCCAUUUACUCUGGAACAAACACUUUGAAAGCCCAGGAAAGGAGAAUUGGAAAAUGAGGACCAAGGAAGAGGCUGUGAGCAAGCCAGGAAAUAAGGCAAAAUUUACAGGGAAGGGGAAAAAGCUUGGAGAAAAUAAAGAAAAGGCCACAGACAGUGGGAAGCAGCCAGGAGAACCCAAAGAGAGGCAUGUAGAAACCGAGAAAGUAUUAGCAGAAUUGAAGGUGGAACAGGGAGAAAUGGAAGAGGAACUGUCUCGGAAGGGAGGAAAAAGAAAGCAAGAAUCCCCAGUAGCAGAAAUGAAGGAGAAACCAGAGGAAAUUAAGGAAGUGUUGGCAGGAGAAAACAAAGAAGAACUUGGAGAAAGCACAGAUUCGGACAAGGUGUACCAUGAUGUCUGGUAUGAAACAGAGAAAGUUUGGCUGUUACAAAAAGAUGGAUUCACUCUUGCUACUGAACUGAAGCCAGAUGAGGGCACUCCUGAGCUGCCUCCAGGGACAGUCCGAGUCCGAGUGGAAGCUGAUGGCUCGAUCAUGGAGGUGGAUGAAGAAAAGGUCCAGAGAACCAAUCCUUCAAAAUUUGACUACGCCGAAGACUUGGCCUCCCUAGUCAGCCUGAAUGAGUCAAGCGUCAUCCACACUCUGUGCCGCCGGUACCAGUCUCAGCUGCUUUACACCCACAGUGGUCCUGAUCUGAUCGCCAUCGAACCACCGUCUUCUGUUUCCACUUGUUCAGUAAAGGCAUUCAAGGGCAAGCGGGAUGGACUGUCCCCACACAUUUUUUCCGUGGCACAGAGGGCCUACUGGCGCAUGCUUAUGCAACGGCAGGAUCAGACCAUCAUGCCCUUGGGCAGGAACAAUUCUGGCAAGACCACCUGCUGCCAGAACACCCUGGAAUACCUAGUGGCCACUGUGGGGAGCAUGGACAACCGAGUCACAGUGGAGAAAAUCCAGGCCAUGUUCAGGGUGCUGAGAGCCUUUGGGACAGUGACGACCAGCCACAACAAAGCCUCCACCCGCUUCUCCAUGGUCAUGGCACUGGAUUUCAGCGCCACUGGCCACAUCACAGCUGCUCAUCUCCAGACAAUGCUGCUGGAAAGGAUCCGUGUGGUGCAGCAGCCAGAGGGAGAGAGCACCUUCAAUGUCUUUUCUCAGAUGCUUGCAGGGCUGGAUCUGGAUCAGAGGACUAUGCUGCAUUUGCAUCAGAUGGCGGAGAACAGCACCUUUGGCAUCAGACCGUGUCAGAAGGCUGAAGAGAAGCAGAAGGCCUCAGCUGCAUUUGCUCAGCUCCAGGCUGCCAUGGAGAUCCUGGGAAUUGUGGUGGAGGAGCAGAAGGCCAUCUGGCGAGUUUUGGCCGCCAUCUACCACCUGGGUGCUGCAGGGGCUUGCAAAGUUGGCAGGAAGCAGUUCAUGCAGUUUGAGUGGGCCAACAAGGCAGCGGAAGUCCUUGGCUGCGAUUUUGAGGAGCUCACAACAGCCGUCUUCAAGCACCACCUCCAGAGGAUUAUUGAGCAGGUCACGUCUGGAGCCGGAGGACAGCUCAGCCAGGACCAAGGCUGGUCGGAUGGUCCCAAGAUGACAGGUGUGGAGUGCGUGGAAGGGAUGGCUGCGGGGCUCUAUGAGGAGCUGUUUGCAGCUGUUGUGUCGCUCAUCAACAGGUCCUUCUCUUCAAGUUCCCUCUCCAUGGCCUCGAUCAUGGUGGUGGACACGCCUGGCUUCCACAACCCCCGGCACCAGAAGAGAGAGCGUGCAGCGACUUUUGAGGAGUUCUGUCACAACUAUACACAGGAGCGGCUGCAGGGCCUCUUCUACAAGAGAACCUUUGUGUCUACACUGGAGAGGUACCAGGAGGAAAAUAUUGAGGUGCCAUUUGAUCUCCCCGAAGUCUCCCCAGCAACCACAGUAGCCAUUGCAGAUCAAAACUCAUCCCAGGUCCAUGCCACCCCUGGGGGCCAGGCAGAAGACCCCAAGGGCCUGUUCUGGAUUCUGGAUGAGGAGGCCUUGAUCCAAGGCUCCAGUGACAGCACUGCGCUCAACCGUCUGUGCUCUUACUUUGUGAAGGAGGGUCCGAUCAAUGAAGGACAGGGAUCCCUGCGCAAGUGUGAGCAGGCCCUGCAGUUCGAGAUUGCCCACCAGCUCGGCCAAGACCCCGUCCGCUAUGAUGCCACUGGCUGGGUAAACAAAGCCAAGUGGAACCUCUCAGUGCAGAAUGCCAUCCAAGUCCUGCAGGAGUCGAAAAUAGACCCUCUGAAGAAACUGUUUCUGUUGCGGUCCAAAGUGCCCCUGAUAUGCCGGUCUGUUGCGGGGCUGGAGGGGAACUCCCAGCAAGCACUGCAGCGAGUUGGCUGUGUGAGGAAGACUUUCACUAGCAGCUUUGCAGCUGUGAAGAAGAAGUCUGUGUGUGCUCAGAUCAAGCUUCAGCUGGAUUCUCUCAUCAACCUAGUGAAGAGAUCCCAGAUUCACUUUGUCCAUUGCCUCAUUGCGAGAACAGAAAUGGACAGAGAAGGAGGCACCGUUCUGCAGUCCUGUCUGAUGGCAGGGGGAACAGCAGCAGGAUGGGACAUCUCCGCCCUUCGAGCCCAGCUCUCCGGGGGCCAGAUAUUGGAUGCAUUACGGCUCAGCAGGAUAGGGUACGCAGAUCGUAUGGUGCGCAUGCAGUUCCGACACCAGUUCCAGAUCCUGGCUCAGCCAAUGAUGAAAAAAUACAGCUCAGCCUAUGAGAUGACAGAUGAAAAUAAGGCUCUGGAGGAGCUCAUCCAGGCCCUCAGUUUGGAGAAGACAAUUGCUGUGGGUCGCACUCAGGUGUUCCUGAAAGCUGGAGUCCUCUCUAGGCUAGAAAAGCAGAGGGAAAAACUGGUGUCUCAGAAUCUGAUUUUCCUCCAAGCAGCUUGCAAGGGGUUUCUCUCCCGUCAGAAAUAUAAGAAAUUAAAGAUUCAGCGUUUGGCUGCUCGGUGCAUCCAGAAGAACUUGGCCAUCUUCCAAGCUGUGAAGGGCUGGCCCUGGUGGCAACUGAUGUGUGGCAUCCGGCCACUGUUGAGCACCAGCCUUGCAGAAGGUCAGCUCCGAGUCAGAGAGGAGGAGUUGGCAUUGCUGCGAAAGAAAUUGGAAAAUUCAGAACUUUCACGGCAGGAGCUUCGGCAGAGCACAGAACAGCUGGAAAGCAAGAUCAUAGACCUCACGACGGAGCUGUCAGAUGAACGCUUGAAAGGUGAUGUUGCCUGUCAGAUCCUGGAAGGUGAACGAGCUGAAAGACUGAGAGGGUCAAGAGAGGUCAAAGAGCUGCAGACCAAGCAUGACCAACUGCAGAAGAAGCUGGAGUCGGCAGAGAAGCAGCUGGAAGAGGCACAGCAGCAGCUUCAUUUGCACGAAACUGGGGCAAGCAGCUCUGGCAAAGGAGAUGAAUGGCAGAUGCGCCUGGACUGUGCACAGACUGAGAUUGGAUUUCUCCGGAAAAGAAUCACACAGCUGGAGGAAAGGCUGGAGGCGGAGCAGACAUCCAAAAAGGAGCUGGAACAAAAGCUAGGUGAGGCCCAGAAGGCGUAUGAAGGUGCCAGGCGGACAGCGCAGUGGCUGAAAAGAAAGUGUAAGCAGCUGACGUGUGAUUUGGGAGAUACACGAGUGUUGAUGGAAAGCCAGCAAAGCCGGAACCAUGAGCUGGAGAAGAAGCAGAAGAAAUUUGACCUGCAGCUGGCUCAGGCCUUGGGAGAAUCCGCCUUCGAGAAGAGCCUUCGGGAGAAAGUGUUACAAGAGAGCACCAGCCUUCAGUUUGAGCUGGGGAAGUUGCAGCGGAGCUUAGAGCAAAAAGAAUUGGACAAUGCCAGCCUCAACCAGCGGCUUGUGCUGUUGAGCAGCCAGGUGCAGGAGCUCAGCGCCCCCAAGGACCUGGAUGCCAACUCGCUGGCUGCCCUCCAGAAGAAACUUUGGGACCUGGAGUCAAGAGCCUCUGAGCAGCAGAAGGAGCUGAGCUCCCAAGCAAGCACCAUUGAACAGCUGGAACAGCUUCACCUGAGACUCGAACUGGAAAUUGAGAGGAUGAAACAGCUUCACCAGAAGGAGCUGGAGGACAAGGAGGAAGAGCUGGAGGAUGUUCGGCAGUCCUGCCAGAAAAGGCUGCGUCAGCUGGAGAUGCAGUGUGAGCAGGAGGGCGAAGAGAAGCAGGCAAUUCUCUGUGAGAAGCGGGACCUGGAAGGGCUGAUUGCCACACUCUGUGAACAGAUUGGCCAUCGAGAUUUUGAUGUGGAGAAGCGACUCCGGCGUGACCUGAAGAGGACUCAUGCUCUGCUGGCUGACAUGCAGCUCCUGCUGGAGACCUCAGGGGCAGAUGCAGGGUCAUCUGGGGGCAGGGAGGAGCUGGAGAAGCUUCGUGGCAAGCUGGAAGAGAGCACAGCCAGAUGUGGAGAGGCUGAGAAGGCACAAAAGAUGCUAGCUCUGGAGCUCGAGAACCUGCACCUUGAGCUGGAGACGUUCAGCAGGAACAAGAACUUGGUUGAUGAGCAAUUAUACCAGCUCCAGCAUGAGAAAGCUGAUCUCCUCAAGCGCAUUGAUGAAGACCAGGAGGAUCUGAAUGAACUGAUGGCCAAGCACAAGGCCUUAAUUGCUCAGUCUGCAACAGAUAUCACCCAGAUCCGAGAGCUGCAGACCCAGUUGGAGGAGAUGAAGAAGGAAAAGCAUGGCCUGCAAGAAAAACUGCAGGUGUCCCAGGCCCGGGUUGUCUAUUUGGAGCAAUCAAUGGUGGAGAGGUCCAUCGUCAGCCGCCAGGAGGCCCUGAUUUGUGACCUGGAGAACAAGAUGGAGUUCCAGAGUGUGCAGAUCAAGCGCUUUGAGAUGCUGGUUCUCCGUCUUCGGGACAGUGUGAUCAAGAUGGGAGAGGAGCUGGAGAAGGCGAAGGAAGGGGAGGCACGGGAAAGAGAGAAGACCUGCUACUACCAGAUGAGGAUGGAAGAGAUGAAAGCAGACCUCAGUGAGCUGGCCCAGAGGGAGCUGGAGGCCAAUCACAGGCGGGUGGAACUGGAGAAGCAAGUGGACGAGCUCUCUGCAGUGAGGCAGACGUUGCAGGCAGACCUGGAGACCUCCAUCCGCCGCAUUGCGGACUUGCAGGUGGCUCUGGAAGAAGUGCAGUCAAGUGACGACAGUGAUAGGGAGAGUGUUCAGACUGCUCGAGAAUCGCUCAGCUCAAGAGGAGACACCGAGAGUCAGCUGAGUCUGGGGUCAACCAUGAGCUUGAACUUGGAACCUGAAGAAAGCGUCAAAUCGUGGUCCAGUUUGGCAUCGGCAUGGUCCUCUCCAUCCAGGCAAACCGUGGACAGCCGUGGUACCCAGAGCCUGAGGAUAAACAAGGAUCAAGAAACAAGCCAGCAGCUGUCUCCCUUAGGUGCAGAACGAAGGGGAUAUGGAAGGAGUGCAGGGGGUGCUGAUUUUGGCAAAGCUAAUCAAAGCCCUACCUUCGGUACCCAAAGAUCAGAUUAUGGGAAACCCAUUUCAAAUGAGGAGUUUUUCACUCUCCAAAAGUUAGGAGCUGUGUCUCCAUCCAUUACAAGAAGGAUGUCCUCUCCAGCAGUGGCAGAAGAGAUGUUAUCAAGUCCUUUGUCCCCUUCUGUGCUCAAAAGGGUGUCCCCUUCAGCAGAAGACAAGUUGUCACGCUCCUCCUCUGCACUUUCUGAAUAUGUUGAAGAGCUGCGAAGAAAAAGACUGAAGGACAAAGAGCCCGGGAACUUAGUGUUAGAUGAUGCCUCCUCUUUGCCUAUUUACCAAACAACAGGAGCCUCAUCCCUUAGAAGAUGCAAGACUUUGAAGGAUGAUGAAGAUCUCCCAGUAACUCUGGAGGGAAUUGGUGAAAGUUCUCGAGCUGGCCUGGUCCGCUCCUCUAGUUUGAGGAGCAUAUCAUCUGAGAGCAUGGCACGGCCAAACCUCUCCCCAGCUCUGAAAAGGGUCUCCAAGUUUGGGUCCUAUGACUCUCUCAUUCAGAACAUAGAUGACACCUACUCAAAGCUCAGCUCCCCAGCCCUGAGUGGAGAAAUGUUCAGCACUUUGCGACUUAAACCAUGGAGAAGUUGCCUGGAGGCAUCCCUGGAAGAAACGACAGACACAGAUCUAGGAAAAGAACCUCUGGUCUUUCAGAACAGAAGAUUUGGUGAUGUUCCAAGUGAGGGAAAGGAAACUGAUCCACUCUCUUGGAAAAUACCAACUCUGAGCUAUGAGAGGAAAACGAAUGAUGACUCAGGUGACUUCCUUCCAGCCGUCCGGAAAGGCCAGUCAACCAGCAGCCUGGCCAGAGGUCCCAAAGAGAGGAGAGAAGGCCAGAGGCCCAUGAGUGUCCGUUUUGAAGACCAAGUCUCGCCCAACCACACUUUCCUCUCUGAGAUAAAGGCCACUUUAUCACCAAGUCCAAAACCCGAAGAGGACCCUGGAAACCUCUCUGACUCGUCUUCGUCUUCUGGCUCAGUUGUAUCUUUCAAAAGUGCUGACAGCAUCAAGAGUCGGCCAAGGAUCCCGAGGCUGGAAGGGGAAGGAUGCGUUGGGAAAAGAAGCCUGGAGGGCGCGAGAGAUGACUGGCGGUCUGAAGCCGAGGGGAAGGAAGAUGAUGUAAACAGUAUCAUGAUGAAAUACCUAGGAAAAGACUAAGGGGACCUGAGAUGGCUUUGAACAUUUGGCUUUUCUUGUGGAAGCGCACAUCUUGGAGCCAAGCUUUUGUCUGAAUCAUCACCAUCCAGGCAUCCUUGUCGGUUCCAGGCUCUGGCUUCCCCACCUGCUUUGGAGGCACCUGAGUUUCCUAACCCAACAAGGCACAACAACACAUGUGUAUGUAAGAGAAGCAGGCUGUGCUCUCUCUUUGAUUUAUACAAAAUAAAACAUUUUGCUUCUUGCAUCUGA